RNAcentral lists this ribosomal RNA (206 nucleotides) under uncultured bacterium. RNAcentral describes it as "partial 16S ribosomal RNA". It matches the Rfam family "Bacterial small subunit ribosomal RNA", at positions 568 to 774 of the family's 1533-position model. The record is from RNAcentral.
CGUGUAGGCGGAGAUGCAAGUUGGGAGUGAAAUCCAUGGGCUCAACCCAUGAACUGCUCUCAAAACUGUAUCCCUUGAGUAUCGGAGAGGCAAGCGGAAUUCCUAGUGUAGCGGUGAAAUGCGUAGAUAUUAGGAGGAACACCAGUGACGAAGGCGGCUCGCUGGACGACAACUGACGCUGAGGCGCGAAAGCGUGGGAGCAAACA